UUACGGUCAAAUCACGCUGAAACACCGGUUCUCAUAUGAUCACUGAAGUUAAGCAGCGUAGAGCCAGGUCAGUACUUAGAUGGGGGACCGCUUGGGAACACCUGGUACUGUAAG
Molecule: ribosomal RNA, 114 nt
Filed under: Acanthosepion pharaonis
Lineage: Eukaryota; Metazoa; Mollusca; Cephalopoda; Sepiida; Sepiidae
Source: RNAcentral